AAUUCUUUGAAGGCAUGCUUUUCGAUUAGGUUUUUUACCUAAUUGUUUUGCUGUCUUUCUAUGCGAUGAUCUCUUACAUGAUAUGUUUCCUUUUGGUCGUAUUAUGUAGGGCAGCUGGUGUUUUCUGACGUGUUUAAUUUCAUCUAUUAUAUUACAACUGUGGUGUCGUUUGAUGACAUAGAUGUAAUUUCUAGAUGAAGUUGUGUCAUGUUUUAGCGUAGAUUUUAGUGAAUAAAUGAAACGAUUUCAAAUUCCG
This is a non-coding RNA of Schizosaccharomyces pombe (fission yeast), 256 nucleotides long. The record is from the annotation of a GenBank genome assembly. NCBI's taxonomy places the organism in Eukaryota, Fungi, Ascomycota, Schizosaccharomycetes, Schizosaccharomycetales, Schizosaccharomycetaceae.